This 874-nucleotide ribosomal RNA is filed under the name uncultured Acinetobacter sp. RNAcentral describes it as "bacterial SSU rRNA". It matches the Rfam family "Bacterial small subunit ribosomal RNA", at positions 28 to 896 of the family's 1533-position model. The record is from RNAcentral. Lineage: Bacteria; Pseudomonadati; Pseudomonadota; Gammaproteobacteria; Moraxellales; Moraxellaceae.
AUUGAACGCUGGCGGCAGGCUUAACACAUGCAAGUCGAGCGGGGAAAGGUAGCUUGCUACCUAACCUAGCGGCGGACGGGUGAGUAAUGCUUAGGAAUCUGCCUAUUAGUGGGGGACAACGUUUCGAAAGGAACGCUAAUACCGCAUACGCCCUACGGGGGAAAGCAGGGGCUCUUCGGACCUUGCGCUAAUAGAUGAGCCUAAGUCAGAUUAGCUAGUUGGUGGGGUAAAGGCCUACCAAGGCGACGAUCUGUAGCGGGUCUGAGAGGAUGAUCCGCCACACUGGGACUGAGACACGGCCCAGACUCCUACGGGAGGCAGCAGUGGGGAAUAUUGGACAAUGGGGGGAACCCUGAUCCAGCCAUGCCGCGUGUGUGAAGAAGGCCUUUUGGUUGUAAAGCACUUUAAGCGAGGAGGAGGCUCCUAUAGAUAAUACCUAUAGUGAGUGGACGUUACUCGCAGAAUAAGCACCGGCUAACUCUGUGCCAGCAGCCGCGGUAAUACAGAGGGUGCGAGCGUUAAUCGGAUUUACUGGGCGUAAAGCGUACGUAGGCGGCUUUUUAAGUCGGAUGUGAAAUCCCUGAGCUUAACUUAGGAAUUGCAUUCGAUACUGGGAAGCUAGAGUAUGGGAGAGGAUGGUAGAAUUCCAGGUGUAGCGGUGAAAUGCGUAGAGAUCUGGAGGAAUACCGAUGGCGAAGGCAGCCAUCUGGCCUAAUACUGACGCUGAGGUACGAAAGCAUGGGGAGCAAACAGGAUUAGAUACCCUGGUAGUCCAUGCCGUAAACGAUGUCUACUAGCCGUUGGGGCCUUUGAGGCUUUAGUGGCGCAGCUAACGCGAUAAGUAGACCGCCUGGGGAGUACGGUCGCAAGACUA